Molecule: long non-coding RNA, 721 nt
Organism: Protopterus annectens (West African lungfish)
Lineage: Eukaryota; Metazoa; Chordata; Ceratodontiformes; Protopteridae
Exons: 2
Source: RefSeq, a predicted model, not a curated record
UUAAAAGCUUAUAAUGAAUGUACAACAUUAACAGACCAAGAGAAGAUGCUUUCCUGUAUCAAAUGUGGAAAACUGCAGAGAAAUUUGGGUCCUGCUCUUAGCAAGACUGUUGCCCAGCUGUAUUGCACGGAUGGUCCCCUGUGUUAGUGAAACAUAUGCCUUCAAGACUUUCAGCUGUGAAAUCCAGUGCCAUUUGGAAACGUUUGCAAAGACAGCAGCCUUUUCAAUCUGUUUCUUUCUUAAAACAUUUUCCAUUUUACCUGCUAUAAAUUCUGUCUGAUUUGGAUUAUUGCCUAAAAUAGAUCUGCCAUGAAUUUUGGAGAUGUCAGUACAUAGAAUUUUAGCAAAGGAAAAGACAAUUGGACAUUUUGACUUUCUCACUCAAGUGGAUGACUGCUUUGUAUGAACAGAAAUGGUGAUCAGUAAAACUGUUUGUUACAUAUUUGUUCAUCUGCCUCUGUAUGUGAGUAAUAGAUAUAUUUUUGUUUGUACUAAAAGGGUUUUGUAGAUGUACUCUCAUGAGUGGCAAAGCCACAAGUGUCCUACAAAAGUGUAACUCUCCAGUAAUAAAAACUAAUCUCACCUUCAGCAUUUUAAGUGCUUAAAAAUUAAGCAUUAUGACAACAGAAUGUUGUAAAACUAAAGAGGUUAAGUUAAAAUAAGCAGAUUGUGUGAUACAGACAGACUGUAAAACAGUAGGAUAAUAAAACAUUUAAUCUGA